GUAGGUGGCAAGCGUUGUCCGGAAUUAUUGGGCGUAAAGCGCGCGCAGGCGGUUCUUUAAGUCUGAUGUGAAGGCCCACGGCUCAACCGUGGAGGGUCAUUGGAAACUGGAGAACUUGAGUACAGAAGAGGAAAGCGGAAUUCCACGUGUAGCGGUGAAAUGCGUAGAGAUGUGGAGGAACACCAGUGGCGAAGGCGGCUUUCUGGUCUGUAACUGACGCUGAGGCGCGAAAGCGUGGGGAGCAAACAGGGAUUAGAUACCCUGGUAGUCCACGCCGUAAACGAUGAGUGCUAAGUGUUAGGGGGUUUCCGCCCCCUUAGUGCUGCAGCUAACGCAUUAAGCACUCCGCCUGGGGAUACGGCCGCAAGGCUG
RNAcentral lists this ribosomal RNA (372 nucleotides) under uncultured organism. RNAcentral describes it as "partial 16S ribosomal RNA". It matches the Rfam family "Bacterial small subunit ribosomal RNA", at positions 527 to 896 of the family's 1533-position model. The record is from RNAcentral.